AGCCGAUGAAGGACGUUACUAACGACGAUAUGCUUUGGGGAGCUGUAAGUAAGCUUUGAUCCAGAGAUUUCCGAAUGGGGAAACCCAGCAUGAGUUAUGUCAUGUUAUCGAUAUGUGAAUACAUAGCAUAUCAGAAGGCACACCCGGAGAACUGAAACAUCUUAGUACCCGGAGGAAGAGAAAGAAAAUUCGAUUCCCUUAGUAGCGGCGAGCGAAACGGGAAGAGCCCAAACCAACAAGCUUGCUUGUUGGGGUUGUAGGACACUCUAUACGGAGUUACAAAGGACGACAUUAGACGAAUCAUCUGGAAAGAUGAAUCAAAGAAGGUAAUAAUCCUGUAGUCGAAAAUGUUGUCUCUCUUGAGUGGAUCCUGAGUACGACGGAGCACGUGA
This 392-nucleotide ribosomal RNA is filed under the name Staphylococcus aureus. RNAcentral's name for it is "partial 23S ribosomal RNA". It matches the Rfam family "Bacterial large subunit ribosomal RNA", at positions 44 to 429 of the family's 2925-position model. Lineage: Bacteria; Bacillati; Bacillota; Bacilli; Caryophanales; Staphylococcaceae. The record is from RNAcentral.